RNAcentral lists this long non-coding RNA (216 nucleotides) under Elaeis guineensis (African oil palm). RNAcentral's name for it is "long non-coding RNA (EGUI_LNC038078)". Lineage: Eukaryota; Viridiplantae; Streptophyta; Magnoliopsida; Arecales; Arecaceae. The record is from RNAcentral.
UUGGACUAAAGCCAAUCAGUAUAGUAUCAUAUAUCCAUCUUUGAUUUAUCAUCUCAGAACUCCUAGAUACUGAGGCUGUAGUAAAUGGGUUGGUCAUGUUCUCCUUUCCAUCGAUCUUCUAAAGUUCGAUGUUACCUUAAUAGAUUUUUCGAAUAAGAUAGUAGCGAUGCAAAAUGUUUGAUAAGCUAAUGGUGUUAGAUGUGUGCCUUAGAUGCC